CGGCGACGCAGGUGAGUCAUUUCUUUCAGCUUCAACCAGAUCCGGUGGCGACGGCGACGCAGGUGAGUUAUUUCUUUCAGCUUCAACCGGAUCCGGUGGCGGCGGCGACGCAGGUGAGUCAUUUCUUUCAGCUUCAACCAGAUCCGGUGGCGGCGGCGACGCAGGUGAGUCAUUUCUGUCAGCUUCAACCGGAUCCGGUGGCGGCGGCGACGCAGGUGAGUCAUUUCUUUCAGCUUCAACCGGAUCCGGUGGCGGCGGCGAUGCCAGAGGUGACUGAUUUCUCGUAC
Pectinophora gossypiella (pink bollworm) is the source of this 287-nucleotide long non-coding RNA. RefSeq lists it as uncharacterized. The transcript is spliced from 3 exons. The record is from RefSeq and is a predicted model, not a curated record. NCBI's taxonomy places the organism in Eukaryota, Metazoa, Arthropoda, Insecta, Lepidoptera, Gelechiidae.